UAAUACGGAGGGUGCAAGCGUUAAUCGGAAUUACUGGGCGUAAAGCGCACGCAGGCGGUUUGUUAAGUCAGAUGUGAAAUCCCCGGGCUCAACCUGGGAACUGCAUUUGAAACUGGCAAGCUAGAGUCUCGUAGAGGGGGGUAGAAUUCCAGGUGUAGCGGUGAAAUGCGUAGAGAUCUGGAGGAAUACCGGUGGCGAAGGCGGCCCCCUGGACGAAGACUGACGCUCAGGUGCGAAAGCGUGGGGAGCAAACAGGAUUAGAUACCCUGGUAGUCCACGCUGUAAACGAUGUCGAUUUGGAGGUUGUGCCCUUGAGGCGUGGCUUCCGGAGCUAACGCGUUAAAUCGACCGCCUGGGGGAGUACGGCCGCAAGGUUA
This 377-nucleotide ribosomal RNA is filed under the name uncultured Serratia sp. RNAcentral's name for it is "bacterial SSU rRNA". It matches the Rfam family "Bacterial small subunit ribosomal RNA", at positions 521 to 896 of the family's 1533-position model. Lineage: Bacteria; Pseudomonadati; Pseudomonadota; Gammaproteobacteria; Enterobacterales; Yersiniaceae. The record is from RNAcentral.